RNAcentral lists this long non-coding RNA (3307 nucleotides) under Heterocephalus glaber (naked mole-rat). RNAcentral's name for it is "lncRNA (ENSHGLG00100050468.1)". The stretch from base 2235 to 2367 matches the Rfam family "Small nucleolar RNA SNORA71". Lineage: Eukaryota; Metazoa; Chordata; Mammalia; Rodentia; Bathyergidae. The record is from RNAcentral.
GUGUGUUCCCUGGAGGUUGGAGACUUCUGGAGAUUUCGUAACUGUGAUGUGGUCCAGAAAGCAGAUGGACGUGAGAUGAAGGCACCAUCAUCCUGGCCCCUGGUUUACCCUCCCUGGGGGCUUUGAGAUGCAUGUGAUUCCCUUUGGUGUGCAGGUUUGGGUCUGGAAUCAAUAGGGAUCCCUUCCUUCCUUGGGUGUGUUGGCAACAGAAUGUCUGAGUCAAAAGCAGAAAGGAUUUCUCACCUAUACUCAGGUCUUAGCUACUUUGUUUUUGCUUCCUAGCUUUGGGACCUUUUCUCAUCCUCAUUUUCAUCCACUAGAAAGCAGGGAUAUGAUGAGACAGGGUUUUUUGGGGUCACAACUCCCUGUUUUCCUCAAUGUAAGAACUUCUAUCAGCUAGCUAGCUUGCUUUCUUUCUUUCUUUCUUUCUUUCUUUUCUUUCUUUUCUUUCUUUCUUUCUUUUUGUAGUUUAUUUGAGACACGGUCUCUCUUAUGUAGUUCAGGCUGGCCUUGAACUCACUUUGUAGCCAGGCUGGCCUCCAACCCAUGGCAAUACUCCUGCCUCAGGCUCCCAAGUGCUGGGAUUACAAGCAUGAACAUGCCUAGCUCUCCAACAGUUUUCUUUAGAGGUGUCUUUCUUUUGCCUCCCCUGUAGGGCCACGUUGAAGGAACUUUUGUAGAGUUAGAAACAAUUGUUGUGUCCUUGUGUUUAGUUGGGCUGGCUGCUCAAAGCUUCUGCCACUGGUCUCCUUUUAAAAAACAGCAAGCCCUCUGACCUUUUCUGCCCCUGCAUUCGUAAGUGAUCAGGGGGUGCCCAUUCCCUGGUCAUUGGUAUUGCAGGCAGAGGAAAUACGGAAAGAAUUGUCCUGUGUUUGGAGGGUCUGCGUGCUUGCCUUCCAGUGCUAGGAGCUUUCCCACACUCUUGCUUCUCAUCAUACAGCUUGGGCUUUGGAGCUGCUAUGUGAGCAUUACUGUCAUUGUUGGAACUUUCACUUCCUGCCCCCUGCUUUUGGGAACUAGGCCAUGUGUGUUGCUUAAGUUCCCCUUGACAGCCAGCAGAGUCACUACCACUCAGCCAAUCUGUGGUUAUGUAUUAAUCAGUAUUAGCUACCCUGCCAUAGGCCAUCUCUCUCUCUUUAGUUAACUCUUAUUUUCAUAAAGAAAUAUUGUGUUUGCUUAGGAAGUAAUAGUCACUGCGUUUGGAAUGCCUACUGUCUGGUAACUACUAUGUUAAUUCUUUUCCUGGUGGCUUUCAUGUCCAUGCUGCUGGAUGCUCACCAAUUAUUCCUGUCUCUUGCAGGUGUCCCGGGAGUUGUCCUGUCAGGAACACCUUAGACCCCAGUGUCAUUGAGAGUUUUCAAUCCAUGGUCUGCUGGUUCCAUUGCUUUAGGGCCUAUGGCGAGGCAGAAAUGUCAUUGGCAGAAGGCCUGGUGGAGGAAAGCUGCUUACUUCAUCACAGCCAAGAAGCAGAGAAAGAAAGAAAAAGCCAUGGGGAGGACUUUGAGGUUGAGGUGAGCAAGAGCUCCCAAGUCCUGCUGGGUAGACUGAUGGGCAGGCCAGUAAUGACAGCAAGAAGGAUGGCAGCUAGGGUGGUCCUUUGGGACCUCGAUGGGAGGAGCUCUAAGGGUGAGCUCUUAUGGGAGGAAGGAGUAGGGCACAAAGUAUACCCCUCCGAGCCACACCCACAGUGACCUGUUUCAUCCAGUUAGGCCCCACCUCCUAACAAACCCAUUCAACUCAUUAAUUCAUUAGUGGAUUGAUCCACUUGAUGAUGAUCCAGACCCUUUUAAAAGCCCAUCAGCUGGCAGCCAAGGCUUCAACACAGUGAACCAUCACAUUAGCCUUUAGUGGCUCCUGUAAAAGUAAAACCUCCAGAGUAUCACUUGGGCAAUAAGAGUCUCCCAGUUGUCUGCCCUCCCUGCCUGGCUGUCUGCAGCAGCAUGCUGUAAUGCAGAAUGGGUGGAUCUGGGCAUGAGAAUCUCCUUCUGCCAGUAUCUCAAUCAAAGAUCAGCUCAACCCAAUUUUCUUGAUUUGAAAAAUAAAGUGAUAAAUAUUUUUCCAGGAUUUCUACCCAAGUUGACUUUUUUUUGAUUCCCUGUGGCAGAGAGGUUCUUUGGGGAUUUUGCCACUAUCAGAGUCCUGUGCUUCACUGGGCUGUUUUCCUGUACUCGACCCAUUCCACAGGCCACUGGCACCCCCGUCUCUUCCAGGGCCGGCCACUCUCUGGUGUGUGCACCUGCAUUCGAAAGUGAUCAUGGGCUGCCUGUGCCCUGGUCAUCAACAAAGCAGGGAGAGGAACCGCUGAAAGCCGUUUCCCGUGUUUGCAGGGUCCAGCCUGUCCCUUGCAAAUGCUGGCGCUUUCGCACACUUCUUUCCUGCCAACACAUUCCAGUUUCAAGAGCCUUAAGGGCUGCUGUGUAAGGGUCAGUGAUGGGAGACAUUUUGUCUUGCUUGGCCUCUCUAUCUAGUGAAUAAGUGAGAUGUUGGGUGAUACACAGUCAUUACCACAGGAUUUUCAAAGAGAAGUGGCCUUUUGGAAGUGGUGGGUCUGGGCAGGCCUUGGAAGGGGUGUGAUAUGAGAGAUAUUCUGAGGGGCGGGAAUCAUGUGGAGGACUUUGAGGUUGAGGGAUGCUGCGCUGGAACUGGAGAUUGCUGAAGGAAGGCCCUGGAAUAGAGGCACUGACCCUGUCAGGAUGAUGAAUGGGGUUCCUGCUCUGAAGGGAUCUCCUCAUGUUGGUUGUGGUGUUGAUUGUGGACACUGGCAUAGCAGAGUGAAGAGUGUCAUUGUCACACGACGCAUUCCAGACCUUAGUGCAGUGGCCUCAGCACAACACAGAGCACCUUUUUACUCUGCAUGAGCAAGCGGAGGGGAAGGCCUGGACUCUGAGGACUUGGGGUCCAGAGGUGGAGACCUUCCAGCUGGUUCUACCCCAUCCCAGCAGAGCCACAGAGCAUCAUAGACGGGAAGACCAGUCUUCCUUCAACUGGCCACCUCCAGUCUUGCCUACUCCUGGUGUAACUUGUAGACCCAAGAGAUCCUGGUGAAGUUUUCUAUACCCUGCACAACCUCAAUAAAUUGUCCACCUCAAUAAAUUUUGAAACAUGCUGUGCUGUGUAUUUUUUGGGUUUUGUUUGUUUACCAAAAUACCCAUGUGUACCAGCUAGGCUGGGUAUAGAGAAGGUAGUCACAGGGUGAAUCUUCCAGUUUUCACUUACUGAGAAUUCCCACUUAGCAUGCUCCUAAGUGGGAUGUGACCUAGGGAAUUUGAGGUAGGAGGUAGGAUUUGGACUAGAGGUUGAACAAUGC